This is a non-coding RNA of Kogia breviceps (pygmy sperm whale), 363 nucleotides long. The record is from RefSeq and is a predicted model, not a curated record. NCBI's taxonomy places the organism in Eukaryota, Metazoa, Chordata, Mammalia, Artiodactyla, Physeteridae.
UCUAGCCCUUUUUGCCAUGUGAGGAAACCAUAAGAGGUCUGCGACCUGGAAGAGGGUCUUCACCUGACCAUGCUGGCAUCCUGAUCUUGGACUUCCAGUCCCCAGAAAUGGCUUCCUCUGUUUGUGUGAUACAGCACUGGUCUUCAGUCACCCAGUCCUGUGAAGCCUUGGUGUAACCCUGGAGGAUUGAUGCCUGUUUGGAUCAAGCCUGGGAGCUACCUUCUGCAGACCUAAUUCUUUUAUCUGUGAGUUGUCACAGGAAAAGGAACUGUUUAAACUUGAGAUCUAGUCACUGGUUUGCUCUGUUGUUUUGAAGACGACUAAGGGGACACAGGUUCCAGCCCUGGUCAGGGAAGAUCCCAC